GACGAACGCUGGCGGCGUGCUUAACACAUGCAAGUCGAACGGAAAGGCCCUGCUUUUGUGGGGUGCUCGAGUGGCGAACGGGUGAGUAACACGUGAGUAACCUGCCCUUGACUUUGUGAUAACUUCAGGAAACUGGGGCUCAUACCGGAUAUGAGCUCCUGCUGCAUGGUGGGGGUUGGAAAGUUUCGGCGGUUGGGGAUGGACUCGCGGCUUAUCAGCUUGUUGGUGGGGUAGUUGCUUACCAAGGCUUUGACGGGUAGCCGGCCUGAGAGGGUGACCGGCCACAUUGGGACUGAGAGACGGCCCAGACGCCUACGGGAGGCAGCAGUGGGGAAUAUUGCACAAUGGGCGGAAGCCUGAUGCAGCAACGCCGCGUGCGGGAUGACGGCCUUCGGGUUGUAAACCGCUGUCGACUGUGACGAAGCGUGAGUGACGGUAAUGGGUAAAGAAGCACCGGCUAACUACGUG
Molecule: ribosomal RNA, 468 nt
Filed under: uncultured bacterium
Lineage: Bacteria
Description: partial 16S ribosomal RNA
Rfam family: Bacterial small subunit ribosomal RNA
Source: RNAcentral